This 75-nucleotide ribosomal RNA is filed under the name Chrysemys picta bellii (western painted turtle). Lineage: Eukaryota; Metazoa; Chordata; Testudines; Emydidae. The record is from RNAcentral.
CCAACAGACACUGCCCGUCCUGGGCCUGGCUAGUACUUGGAUGGGUGACCACCUGGGAAUCCCAGGUGUCUUGGC